UGCCAGCCGCCGCGGUAAUACGGAGGAUUCGAGCGUUAUCCGGAUUUAUUGGGUUUAAAGGGUCCGUAGGCGGUCUUUUAAGUCAGUGGUGAAAUCCCAGAGCUUAACUCUGGAACUGCCAUUGAAACUGAAGGACUUGAAUAUGGUUGAGGUAGGCGGAAUACGUUAUGUAGCGGUGAAAUGCAUAGAUAUAACGUAGAACACCAAUUGCGAAGGCAGCUUACUAAGCCAUUAUUGACGCUGAUGGACGAAAGCGUGGGGAGCGAACAGGAUUAGAUACCCUGGUAGUCCACGCCGUAAACGAUGAUUACUCGUUGUGCACAAUACAUCGUGCGUGACUGAGCGAAAGCAUUAAGUAAUCCACCUGGGGAGUACGUUCGCAAGAAUGAAACUCAAAGGAAUUGACGGGGGCCCGCACAAGCGGAGGAACAUGUGGUUUAAUUCGAUGAUACGCGAGGAACCUUACCUGGACUUAAAUGUAGAUUGACCGGCUUAGAAAUAGGUCUUUCCUUCGGGACAAUUUACAAGGUGCUGCAUGGUUGUCGUCAGCUCGUGCCGUGAGGUGUCGGGUUAAGUCCCAUAACGAGCGCAACCCCUAUCGUUAGUUGCUAGCAGGUAAUGCUGAGGACUCUAGCGAGACUGCCACCGUAAGGUGAGAGGAAGGUGGGGAUGACGUCAAAUCAGCACGGCCCUUACGUCCAGGGCUACACACGUGUUACAAUGGCCAGUACAAAGGGCAGCUACCUGGUGACAGGAUGCUAAUCUCAAAAGCUGGUCUCAGUUCGGAUCGGAGUCUGCAACUCGACUCCGUGAAGUUGGAUUCGCUAGUAAUCGUAUAUCAGCAAUGAUACGGUGAAUACGUUCCCGGGCCUUGUACACACCGCCCGUCAAGCCAUGGAAGCCGAGGGUGCCUGAAGUACGUUACCGCAAGGAGCGUCCUAGGGUAAAAUUGGUAACUGGGGCUAAGUCGUAACAAGGUAGC
This 982-nucleotide ribosomal RNA is filed under the name uncultured Cytophaga kps30. RNAcentral's name for it is "bacterial SSU rRNA". It matches the Rfam family "Bacterial small subunit ribosomal RNA", at positions 506 to 1500 of the family's 1533-position model. Lineage: Bacteria; Pseudomonadati; Bacteroidota; Cytophagia; Cytophagales; Cytophagaceae. The record is from RNAcentral.